Molecule: small nuclear RNA, 196 nt
Organism: Telopea speciosissima
Lineage: Eukaryota; Viridiplantae; Streptophyta; Magnoliopsida; Proteales; Proteaceae
Product: U2 spliceosomal RNA
Exons: 1
Source: RefSeq, a predicted model, not a curated record
AUACCUUUCUCGGCCUUUUGGCUAAGAUCAAGUGUAGUAUCUGUUCUUAUCAGUUUAAUAUCUGAUACGUAGGUCAUCGACCGACAUGAUAUUAAAUUAAUUUUUCUUGGGGGAGGGUCCACCACAGUAGCUUGCUAUUGGGUCCUCAAAGUGUUGCCCAUGCGUUGCACUACUACGCAGGCCUGGCGCACCCCUA